Syngnathus acus (greater pipefish) is the source of this 402-nucleotide long non-coding RNA. RefSeq lists it as uncharacterized. The transcript has 4 exons. Lineage: Eukaryota; Metazoa; Chordata; Actinopteri; Syngnathiformes; Syngnathidae. The record is from RefSeq and is a predicted model, not a curated record.
AGCCCCUGCAGUGCUGAAAGGUCAAACUGCAGAGAAAAAACAAGCCACCAGCUUUAGGAAGGAGACCAGAAGGCAACAAGCAGCACCGCCGAACUCUCCUUGGCUGCCGUCAGCCUCUGGCCCCGCCCCCUGCACUAGCAGCAGGGAGAUGAUUGGACUACACAGCACAGCACUGCAAUGCAGGUUGGUUGCCUUCACUCUUUCUCAUGACUCCAUCUCAUCCCUGUCGAACGAUGGUGGCUCGAAGCUGACCACCUCCUCCUCGCGGCUUUCAAAGCUCUGGUCAUAAGGCUCCGCUUCAGGCUCGUCAUCUGGAUCGUGAUACUGGGCAAAGUAAGGGUGGGCCAGCGCCUCGGAUGCCGUGAUCCGUUUGUCUGUGUCCAGCACCAGCAUUUUCUCCAG